Molecule: long non-coding RNA, 549 nt
Organism: Pseudophryne corroboree (corroboree frog)
Lineage: Eukaryota; Metazoa; Chordata; Amphibia; Anura; Myobatrachidae
Exons: 3
Source: RefSeq, a predicted model, not a curated record
ACGUAGCCGCCACCUCUACUAUCUUAGCGCUAGCUGUUACCGCAGGUGGGUUAGGGUAGGGGGCAGGGGAGGGUAAACUAGCUACCCCCACCCCUGUCAGUAUUCUAAAAGUCGGGAUGCCGCGGUGGGUCAUGUGACCACCGGUAUCCCAACCGCCGGCAUUUUGUAUCACAUCCCAAGGCAUACCACUAUACUUAGGGCACUGUCGUUGAAUAAAUCAUUAAGUGUAUCUACGGCAAAGCCUUAGCAUCGUUUGUGGCAGAGCGCCUGACGUCACACGGAUUAAACUUUUACAUAUACAAAUGCGUCACUGGGACUCCGGGAGCAAGCAGUUCAUUGAGAGAAGGGAAAUUCUAGGGAGGAUUGUGCCCUCUACUGGCAACACACUGGAAUGGUAUACAGUUCCCGUCAGGCUCAUCUUUCACCACGUCCCAUCUGUAUAGAAGAAAUGUAUUCCGUUAGUAAAUGGAAAUCACCGCAGACAUCAUCGCCAAUCUCUCACAACAGGCAGAAAUGCCGAUACAUUAUAGAAUAAUAUGAAAAAGAAAA